Small nucleolar RNA from Heterocephalus glaber (naked mole-rat), 70 nucleotides. The record is from Ensembl. NCBI's taxonomy places the organism in Eukaryota, Metazoa, Chordata, Mammalia, Rodentia, Bathyergidae.
UGGACCAAUUAUGGGAACUGGUGAUAUUAUUAAUUGUAAAUGAUGAAUGUUCCAUGACUCUGAGGUCCAA